AGUAAUGCUUGGGAAUCUAGCUUAUGGAGGGGGAUAGCUACGGGAAACUGUAGCUAAUACCGCGUAGAAUCGAGAGAUGAAAGUGUGGGACCUUCGGGCCACAUACCAUAGGAUGAGCCCAAGUGGGAUUAGGUAGUUGGUGAGGUAAAGGCUCACCAAGCCGACGAUCUCUAGCUGGUCUGAGAGGAUGACCAGCCACACUGGGACUGAGACACGGCCCAG
RNAcentral lists this ribosomal RNA (222 nucleotides) under uncultured bacterium. Its description in RNAcentral is "partial 16S ribosomal RNA". It matches the Rfam family "Bacterial small subunit ribosomal RNA", at positions 109 to 334 of the family's 1533-position model. The record is from RNAcentral.